AUGAGUGUUUUCCGCCUGCCGACAUCAGUAUGUGACGACCUUACAAGGUUGAUGAGACAGUAUUGGUGGGGAGUGGAGAAGGGCAAGAGGAAGAUGGCUUGGUUGAGCUGGGAGAAGAUGAUAUUGCCUAAGGAUAUGGGGGGCAUGGGGUUUAGGGACAUGCGGGCUUUCAACCAAGCGCUGCUUGCAAAUCAGGCUUGGAGAUUAUUACAAACCCCGGACAGCCUAUGUGCUCGCCUGCUACGGGCAAGAUACUACCCAAACGGUAAUCUUCUGGAUACGGUGUUUCCAGCCAGCUCUUCUACGGUUUGGAAAGGAAUCAUCCAUGGUCUGGAACUAUUGAAGAAAGGCUUGAUUUGGAGAGUUGGUAAUGGCACAAUGAUAAGAACGUGGAGGGAUCCGUGGAUCCCCAGGAGGCAUGACUUUAAACCAAUAACCCCAAAAGGAAAUUGCAGAUAUAACUGGGUUGCUGAUUUUUUGUAG
Molecule: ribosomal RNA, 483 nt
Filed under: Triticum aestivum (bread wheat)
Lineage: Eukaryota; Viridiplantae; Streptophyta; Magnoliopsida; Poales; Poaceae
Description: partial small subunit ribosomal RNA
Source: RNAcentral